RNAcentral lists this long non-coding RNA (1112 nucleotides) under Cyanistes caeruleus (blue tit). Its description in RNAcentral is "lncRNA (ENSCCEG00000003285.1)". The record is from RNAcentral. Lineage: Eukaryota; Metazoa; Chordata; Aves; Passeriformes; Paridae.
CCGCUGCACCCUCGGGUUUCCUGGGCUCCCUCCCGGCUCGGUCCCAGUUUCGCUUUCGGCUGCGGCUCCGCCGCGGCCCGAGGGGUCCCGGGGGUAAUCCCGGGGGUGCCUCCGGGAGCGCUCGCGGGUCUCGGUGCGCCAUCCCCAGCUCUGCACCGCCAUGGACUUUCUCCCCCCCAGCUCUGCUCUGGUAAGUGGGGACCCCCCUCCUAGAGAUUUGACCUGCGCCCCUCUGGGACCCCCGUGAGAGCCCCUUGGGACUCCCAGAACCCCCCGGUGCCCCCCCCCAGGUGCCGCUGCUGCUCCUUCUGGCCGUGUCCACUCCCAGCAGCUGCUGCUCCUUCGGCUUUAACCCCAUCAGCAGCACCUUCAGCGCCCACCUGAACAACCUGGGAAGGCCCCACCCUCGGUCCCGAAAACCCCCUGACUGCACCCCUUCACCCCCAAAGGGUCGUUGGGGACCACCUGAGCGCCCCCUCAGACCUCUGGGCUGUUUUUGGGGACCCCCUGACCCCUCCCACAGACCCCCUGGCUGCUCCUCGACUACCCUGUGGCGAUGCCCAGCAACCUGGAGCCAGACAGCAGCUGCUCUGACCUCUGGGGCCUUCACUUCGGGGCACUGGCUCUGCAGCGAAUGUUAGGGGUGGCAGGGAAGGAUUUGGCGCCCCUGCUCAGGACCCUCCUUGUCCAGCUCCACUUUGUGUCCGAGUGUCACAUCCAGGACCCCCAGGGCUGUGUCCGGCUGGAGACGGUGAAUGUGUCGCAGCUACUGGAGACCCUGGUGCAGCACCUGGGGAGGCUGCAAGGGAGACCCCCCCACUUCCCUGGCUGUGCCCGCUUGCGCUGCCACCCAGGUACCCCCGCGGGACCCCUGAGAGACCCUCGUAAACUCCCCAGGGCAGCCGCUGACCACUGUCUCCCCCCAGGCCCGACGCUGACCAGCCCAGCAGUGCGGCAUGAGGGGACCUUGGGGGCCAGGCAGGGACCCCCCAGCCCUGCUGGACAUGGGCUGGUGCUGCUGGGGGGAGUUGGGGGGGCCCUGGGCCUGGCAGCAGCAGCCUGGGUGCUGUGGAGGAGACCCUGUGCCCAGGUGGGGACACUGGGGGCACUGA